This 253-nucleotide ribosomal RNA is filed under the name uncultured bacterium. RNAcentral describes it as "partial 16S ribosomal RNA". It matches the Rfam family "Bacterial small subunit ribosomal RNA", at positions 524 to 776 of the family's 1533-position model. The record is from RNAcentral.
UACGAAGGGGGCUAGCGUUGCUCGGAAUCACUGGGCGUAAAGCGCACGUAGGCGGCUUCUUAAGUCAGGGGUGAAAUCCUGGAGCUCAACUCCAGAACUGCCUUUGAUACUGAGGAGCUUGAGUCCGGGAGAGGUGAGUGGAACUGCGGGUGUAGAGGUGAAAUUCGUAGAUAUUCGCAAGAACACCAGUGGCGAAGGCGGCUCACUGGCCCGAUACUGACGCUGAGGCACGAAAGCGUGGGGAGCAAACAGG